This 256-nucleotide ribosomal RNA is filed under the name uncultured bacterium. RNAcentral describes it as "partial 16S ribosomal RNA". It matches the Rfam family "Bacterial small subunit ribosomal RNA", at positions 521 to 776 of the family's 1533-position model. The record is from RNAcentral.
UAAUACGAAGGGGGCUAGCGUUGUUCGGAAUUACUGGGCGUAAAGGGCGCGUAGGCGGCCCUGUCAGUCAAGCGUGAAAGCCCCGGGCUCAACCUGGGAAUUGCGCCUGAUACUGCAGGGCUUGAGGGUCGGAGAGGAUGGUGGAAUUCCCAGUGUAGAGGUGAAAUUCGUAGAUAUUGGGAAGAACACCGGUGGCGAAGGCGGCCAUCUGGACGACAUCUGACGCUGAGGCGCGAAAGCGUGGGGAGCAAACAGG